GUUGAACGCAUAUGGCGCAUCGGACGUUUCAACCCGACCGAUGCACACAUCCUUGAGU
This 58-nucleotide ribosomal RNA is filed under the name Anopheles subpictus. RNAcentral's name for it is "partial 5.8S ribosomal RNA". The record is from RNAcentral. Lineage: Eukaryota; Metazoa; Arthropoda; Insecta; Diptera; Culicidae.